CCUUGUGAGUAAGUUGAAUCUC
Molecule: microRNA, 22 nt
Filed under: Solanum tuberosum (potato)
Lineage: Eukaryota; Viridiplantae; Streptophyta; Magnoliopsida; Solanales; Solanaceae
Description: stu-miR8038a-5p
Source: miRBase by way of RNAcentral